GGAAAAACUCAUUAUGAAAAUUUAUUAAAACAUUUACUGUUAAGAUUGAUACGAGUAUUCAGGAAAGGUGCUUCACACUAAAAUCUCCAGGAAAAAGGGAAUAAGCAGUAUGGAAUGGUAUAGCUAGCCUAGGCCCUCUAAUUAUCAAAGCUUAUUAUUGUAAUUUUGGGUUUCUUUUGUUCCUAGUUUAUAAAAAGAAAACCCUACUCUCUAUAUGAAAAGGCCUUCAUAGUGAAAAAUCAC
RNAcentral lists this unclassified non-coding RNA (243 nucleotides) under Hevea brasiliensis (rubber tree). Lineage: Eukaryota; Viridiplantae; Streptophyta; Magnoliopsida; Malpighiales; Euphorbiaceae. The record is from RNAcentral.